UAAUCAUGGUUUCCUGCAACAACAUCAACAAUUUCCUCCUAGAAAUUCUCUUAUAUGUACUUAAAAUAAUUAUUUGAUGAGGUUAUAUGUAUGGCCAAAGUCAAUGACCAGUCUCGGUCAGCAUCAGCAUCAUCUAUACUAAUAUACUCAUAAGCAGGUUGUUACACAUCCUUCUCUAUGGUUCAUCUUCCUCUCACCACCAACAUUCCAUGAAACUCAUCUGUCUCUCUAUUAAUUCUUCUGCUUAUCAAAAAC
RNAcentral lists this long non-coding RNA (255 nucleotides) under Brassica napus (rape). RNAcentral's name for it is "long non-coding RNA (BNAP_LNC012342)". Lineage: Eukaryota; Viridiplantae; Streptophyta; Magnoliopsida; Brassicales; Brassicaceae. The record is from RNAcentral.